RNAcentral lists this ribosomal RNA (849 nucleotides) under uncultured bacterium. RNAcentral describes it as "bacterial SSU rRNA". It matches the Rfam family "Bacterial small subunit ribosomal RNA", at positions 60 to 880 of the family's 1533-position model. The record is from RNAcentral.
AGCGAGCGGAACUAACAGAUUUACUUCGGUAAUGACGUUAGGAAAGCGAGCGGCGGAUGGGUGAGUAACACGUGGGGAACCUGCCCCAUAGUCUGGGAUACCACUUGGAAACAGGUGCUAAUACCGGAUAAGAAAGCAGAUCGCAUGAUCAGCUUUUAAAAGGCGGCGUAAGCUGUCGCUAUGGGAUGGCCCCGCGGUGCAUUAGCUAGUUGGUAAGGUAAAGGCUUACCAAGGCGAUGAUGCAUAGCCGAGUUGAGAGACUGAUCGGCCACAUUGGGACUGAGACACGGCCCAAACUCCUACGGGAGGCAGCAGUAGGGAAUCUUCCACAAUGGACGCAAGUCUGAUGGAGCAACGCCGCGUGAGUGAAGAAGGUUUUCGGAUCGCAAAGCUCUGUUGUUGGUGAAGAAGGAUAGAGGUAGUAACUGGCCUUUAUUUGACGGUAAUCAACCAGAAAGUCACGGCUAACUACGUGCCAGCAGCCGCGGUAAUACGUAGGUGGCAAGCGUUGUCCGGAUUUAUUGGGCGUAAAGCGAGCGCAGGCGGAAGAAUAAGUCUGAUGUGAAAGCCCUCGGCUUAACCGAGGAACUGCAUCGGAAACUGUUUUUCUUGAGUGCAGAAGAGGAGAGUGGAACUCCAUGUGUAGCGGUGGAAUGCGUAGAUAUAUGGAAGAACACCAGUGGCGAAGGCGGCUCUCUGGUCUGCAACUGACGCUGAGGCUCGAAAACAUGGGUAGUGAACAGGAUUAGAUACCCUGGUAAUCCAUGCCGUANACGAUGAGUGCUAAGUGUUGGGAGGUUUCCGCCUCUCAGUGCUGCAGCUAACGCAUUAAGCACUCCGCCUGGGGAG